UACAGAGGUCCCAAGCGUUGUUCGGAUUCACUGGGCGUAAAGGGUGCGUAGGCGGUCGGGUAAGUCUGAUGUGAAAUCUCACAGCUUAACUGUGAAACUGCAUUGGAUACUAUUCGGCUUGAGAGUUGGAGGGGGGACUGGAAUUCCUGGUGUAGCGGUGAAAUGCGCAGAUAUCAGGAGGAACACCGGUGGCGAAGGCGGGUCUCUGGGCCGUAACUGACGCUGAGGAGCGAAAGCAUGGGGGAGCGAACAGG
RNAcentral lists this ribosomal RNA (254 nucleotides) under uncultured bacterium. RNAcentral describes it as "partial 16S ribosomal RNA". It matches the Rfam family "Bacterial small subunit ribosomal RNA", at positions 524 to 776 of the family's 1533-position model. The record is from RNAcentral.